This 896-nucleotide long non-coding RNA is filed under the name Lathyrus oleraceus (garden pea). RNAcentral describes it as "Pisum sativum (pea) long non-coding RNA (PSAT_LNC039225)". Lineage: Eukaryota; Viridiplantae; Streptophyta; Magnoliopsida; Fabales; Fabaceae. The record is from RNAcentral.
CAAUUAUGAUUUGAUGUAGUAAACAUUGUCACAUUAAGAAGGCUAAUAUGUUAAACUUAUACAUUAAGAAACCAAGUAACAUGUAUAUGUAUAUAUCAUUUUAAUUCAAAGACAUGCAUUUGGAGUUUUUCAACCCAUCCUAUAAUGUUCAAAGCAAAUUUAACUAUUUUUUCAUGUAUCCAUCAAAUAGGUGUCAUGUUUCUAAUAAAAGUAGCUCUACAUUAAUUUCACAAUUUGUUUUGUUUUUCAUAACUUUAACAUAUCUUUGUCUAUAUAAACUGUAAUUUUCUUUAUUUCUUUUUUUCAUGGUCAUUUUUUUAAAACAACAUAUUAUGACAUCAAUAUAUUAUAUUUUAGAAUUUUAGAUUUAAAAAAAUCUCAAAUCUCAAUACAUUACAAUUUAAGUUAAUAUAAUUAAUCAUUAAAAAACUGCAUAUUCUCUUGUUUUAGUGUUUAAAACGUAUUUUUAAUUUAUAAAAAAGAGUAUAAAAUAAGUAAAUCAAUCUACCAAUGUUUAUUUGGUGUAGUAAACACUGUCACAUUAAGAAGGCUAUUAUGUUAAAGAAAUACAUUAGGUGGGUAAGUAAUAUGUAUAUGUAUAUAUCAUUUUAAUUCAAAGACAUGCAUUUAGAGUGUUUCAACCCAUCCUUUAUUGUUCAAAGCAAACUUAGCUAUUUUUUCAUGUAUCCAUCAAAUAGGUUUCGUUUUUAAUAAAAGUAGUUCUACGUUAUUUUCACAAUUUCUUUUGUUUUUCAUAACUGUAACACAUCUUUGUGUAUAUAAACUAUUAUUUUGUUUAUUUCUUUUUUUCAUGUUCAUUUUUUUAAAAUAACAUAUUAUGAUAUCAAUAUAUUAUAUUUUAGAAUUUUAGAUUUUAAAAAACUCAAAUAUCAUUA